AGAGUUUGAUCAUGGCUCAGGACGAACGCUGGCGGCGUGCCUAACACAUGCAAGUCAGGGAGAAUGGGGUAGCAAUAUCCCUAGUAAACCGGCGCAAGGGUGAGUAACACGUAAGCAAUCUGCCUUUUGGACGGGAAUAACUUCGAGAAAUCGAGGCUAAUACCCGAUAAUGCAGCGGCAUCGCAUGAUGACAGUUGUUAAAGGCCGUAAGGUGCCAAAAGAUGAGCUUGCGUCCCAUUAGCUUGUUGGCGGGGUAACGGCCCACCAAGGCGACGAUGGGUAGCUGGUCUGAGAGGACGAUCAGCCACACUGGAACUGAGACACGGUCCAGACUCCUACGGGAGGCAGCAGUGAGGAAUAUUGCGCAAUGUCCGAAAGGGUGACGCAGCGACGCCGCGUGAAGGAUGAAGGCCCUAUGGGUCGUAAACUUCUUUUGCGAGGGAAGAAUUUCCUGCUAUAGGCAGGAUUGACUGUACCUCGAGAAAAAG
RNAcentral lists this ribosomal RNA (488 nucleotides) under uncultured Archangiaceae bacterium. Its description in RNAcentral is "bacterial SSU rRNA". It matches the Rfam family "Bacterial small subunit ribosomal RNA", at positions 8 to 490 of the family's 1533-position model. The record is from RNAcentral. Lineage: Bacteria; Pseudomonadati; Myxococcota; Myxococcia; Myxococcales; Archangiaceae.